ACAUCGCCUCUUGAUCAAUUAUAAGAGGUCAAGCCUGCCCAGUGACAUUGUUCAACGGCCGCGGUAUCCUAACCGUGCGAAGGUAGCGUAAUCACUUGUCCUUUAAAUAAGGACUAGUAUGAACGGCUUCACGAAGGCUAUACUGUCUCCUUAAUCUAAUCAAUUAAACUAAUCUCCCCGUGAAGAAGCGGGGAUUCAUCUAUAAGACGAGAAGACCCUAUGGAGCUUUAAACAUCUAAGACACUUGAUUUUUACCUACUAAACUUCAUGCAACCUAUCCUUUUGUCUUAAGUUUUAGGUUGGGGUGACCACGGAGAAAAAUUAAACCUCCACGUAGAAAGAAAAUUCUUUUCUAAGCAAAAAGCCACAUCUUAACGCAUCAAUAUAUUGACUUAACUUGA
RNAcentral lists this ribosomal RNA (401 nucleotides) under Allobates femoralis group sp. ABGD cluster 9. Its description in RNAcentral is "partial large subunit ribosomal RNA". It matches the Rfam family "Bacterial large subunit ribosomal RNA", at positions 1813 to 2382 of the family's 2925-position model. The record is from RNAcentral. Lineage: Eukaryota; Metazoa; Chordata; Amphibia; Anura; Aromobatidae.